CCUCAUAGAUUCCUUAGUACGGCGAGUGACCGGGAUGAGCUCAAAUUUAAAAUCUGGCGUCUUUCAGGCGUCCGAGUUGUAAUCUAUAGAGGCGUUUUCCGCGCCGGACCGCGUCCAAGUCCCUUGGAAUAGGGUAUCAAAGAGGGUGACAAUCCCGUACUUGACGCGACGACCGGUGCUCUGUGAUACGUUCUCAACGAGUCGAGUUGUUUGGGAAUGCAGCUCUAAACGGGUGGUAAAUUCCAUCUAAGGCUAAAUAUUGGCGAGAGACCGAUAGCGAACAAGUACCGUGAGGGAAAGAUGAAAAGCACUUUGGAAAGAGAGUUAAACAGCACGUGAAAUUGUUAAAAGGGAAACGAUUGAAGUCAGUCGUGUGGGAGGUAUUCAGCCGUCUCUGGCGGUGUAUUUGCCUCUCACGGGUCAACAUCAGUUUGAUCCGGUAGAAAAAGGCGGGAGGAAGGUGGCACCCUCGGGUGUGUUAUAGCCUCCUGUCACAUGUGCCGGACCAGACUGAGGAACGCAGCUCGCAGCAAUGCCGGGGUUCGCCCACGUACGAGCUUAGGAUGUUGACAUAAUGGCUUUAAACGACCGAAAAUUGAAACACGGACCCAUA
This 613-nucleotide ribosomal RNA is filed under the name Vishniacozyma victoriae. Its description in RNAcentral is "eukaryotic LSU rRNA". It matches the Rfam family "Eukaryotic large subunit ribosomal RNA", at positions 66 to 664 of the family's 3401-position model. The record is from RNAcentral. Lineage: Eukaryota; Fungi; Basidiomycota; Tremellomycetes; Tremellales; Bulleribasidiaceae.